UACGUAGGUCCCGAGCGUUGUCCGGAUUUAUUGGGCGUAAAGCGAGCGCAGGCGGUUUAAUAAGUCUGAAGUUAAAGGCAGUGGCUUAACCAUUGUUCGCUUUGGAAACUGUUAGACUUGAGUGCAGAAGGGGAGAGUGGAAUUCCAUGUGUAGCGGUGAAAUGCGUAGAUAUAUGGAGGAGCACCGGUGGCGAAAGCGGCUCUCUGGUCUGUAACUGACGCUGAGGCUCGAAAGCGUGGGGAGCAAACAGG
This 252-nucleotide ribosomal RNA is filed under the name uncultured bacterium. RNAcentral describes it as "partial 16S ribosomal RNA". It matches the Rfam family "Bacterial small subunit ribosomal RNA", at positions 524 to 776 of the family's 1533-position model. The record is from RNAcentral.